GGACGUCCUGUAGCUGAAAUGAUGAUGAUGCUUUUGAAACUCAUUAAAAUGUACCAACUUUACCUAAUUUGCAACAAUUCUUGUUUGUUUCCAUCAUUUGUAAAAAAAAAAUAGAAUAAAAACAGUCUGUAAUCCGAAUAACAACGAUGUUCAAUUGUUCAAUGAUUGCACUCAAUCAAUUCGUUACAUCUCGUUACUUGAUUUUCAAUGUCAUUUUUUACUUACUCAACAAUGUUUUUGUCAAUACCUAAUAUUCUGUGACGACAAUAACUGCACUGUGGACAGUUGCAUAGAGGUUUUGUGAUACAGAAGUCGUUUCAAAGAGCAAUAAAUUUAAAUAUUUGAACACUCAAUCACAUAGUGUCAUAUCUACAUUUCUAAAGAUUUACUCAAGUCUUCAUUAUGAAAGUGAUUGACGACAAAUCAUGUUUUGGCGUUUAUGACCCUUGGAAAGAUGAUUGCGGACCUGGCUGCGAUUGUCAUGAUGUCCGCAUUGAUAGUACAACUUGCAUGAAGUGAAGAACAACUGUAGAUAAUAUACUUUGUUAGUAAAAUCAUCUUAGUUUAGUUAAUUUAUUUUUGUUGUUAUGCGGACUAUUCAGGGAAACAAUAAAAAACUUUAGUGAUGUGAUGAUUAAUUUUAUUUUACACAGUGAAUGUGUUACACCAAAAAAAAGGAACAGCAUAAAAUGCAUUGUUGAUUUACAGUAAUAAAUUACACGAUCAAUUGGAAACCAAAAGCUUGAAACAAUAGCUAUUACACUUUAGAUAACGGGCUAUGUUGUCAUUAUUAAAAAUAAACAGCAACAGUAUCAGUAGGUAAACGAUAACAACUCAAGAUGAAUGUAUUUUAUAACGUUUUAUGGACAUGAUCAUUUUAAAUUUACACGAAUAUCGCUUGACUUUGGCUCAUGUUAUGAAAUGACUUAUAUUCUACAUAAUUAUAAGUAGAUACGAUGAUAAACAAAUACUUAAAUCACAUUAACAGACACAGCCACUUCAUCUUCAGUUCAUUUAGUCUUCACAGCUUGCUCUUGAGCACAAAGAUUCUUUCAUUCAU
Long non-coding RNA from Ostrinia furnacalis (Asian corn borer), 1060 nucleotides. RefSeq lists it as uncharacterized. Lineage: Eukaryota; Metazoa; Arthropoda; Insecta; Lepidoptera; Crambidae. The transcript is spliced from 3 exons. The record is from RefSeq and is a predicted model, not a curated record.